This 1179-nucleotide long non-coding RNA is filed under the name Olea europaea (common olive). RNAcentral's name for it is "long non-coding RNA (OEUR_LNC005585)". Lineage: Eukaryota; Viridiplantae; Streptophyta; Magnoliopsida; Lamiales; Oleaceae. The record is from RNAcentral.
UACAUCUUUUUAUUCUUUUCAGAAAGAGAACUUUAAAAUUCCAAUAGAUUUAAAACUUCAAUUGAUGUUGUAAAUCAAUUGUGAAAUGUUUUUCAAGAUUGUCAUAGAUGAAGUGCAGUGGUUCCUUGGAAAUUUUGAUAGAUGUUAAACGUAGGAUGUGUAGCCGCUGCCAAUGCAUCCAAAAGCCAAAAUUUUCUCCUUCCUCCAGCUGUGUUGCGAGAGAGAAAAGUAUGAAUAAAGCAAUGCAACAAAAAUGGAAGUGAAUGGUUGCCGCAAGAGAAUUGGAAAAUGACAGUUGAUGCUCCCAUCUAAAGAAUGGCAAAGGUGUUAGAAAGACCGGUUUAAAAUCUGCGACAUUCUCAAAAUUUCUGUAAGUGUUUCAACUUGAUAAUAUCCAAGGAACUUCAUAGCAAAAAUGAGAUUAUGCACCAUUAUUUGGCUAAGUUAGCCCAAAGAUCAAGUUUCUUCGUCAAGAGACAAGUUAUCAUGGGCAUCCGGAGGAAUCCAAUUUAUCAGCACCUGAUUUCCUUUCUUUAAGAUGCAAGUCUUCCUCAAAAUCUCUCUCUCUCUCUAUGUGUCUCUCGAGGGGGUGGGGGCGUGGAAUGGAGAAUGAAGCAAAGUAAAUGAUUGUUCUAGAAUAGCUAUUCCUCACAAUUGCUCCAAACAGACGAAACCCUGGAAAGAAUUAGCAACUAAAAAGGAAUUCCGACUCAAAAAGAUGGUACUUUGAGUUUCAACGAGCUAUGGAGUUCAAUUACAAAAUUAUGAACAAAACAUGUAAUGUAACUAAUUUAAAACAUUUACUGAAAAAUACAUAUAAAAUUUAUAAAUUCAUUUUAUUAAUCUCAGGAGAACAUAAUACAUUACUGUAAUACUUUCAACCGCUUAAGCAACAAACAUUUAACUUGAAGUUCGAUUCAAAUUCUCAUGCAAUGAUGAUCAGGUUUUUGAUCAGGGAUGUGGAUAGACUCCGCUUGGGGGUGGUGCCUGUUGAUAGUAAUCAGUAGAUGGUGGUGGGUAGGUUCCACUUGACUGCCCUGCAGGAUUAGUCAUUACAAAUUCAAUCAUACAAGUGUGCAUCAAGGCAGAAUUCUAUUGAAAAAUCUUAGUACUAAGUGUGCAUUUUUUUAGCAACAUGUAAUUGAGAAAACUAUAUAGUACCUGCUGGAGGGUAACNNN